This 47-nucleotide non-coding RNA is filed under the name Pseudomonas sp. Its description in RNAcentral is "Guanidine-II sequence". It matches the Rfam family "Guanidine-II riboswitch aptamer (mini-ykkC)". Rfam says of the family: Simpler in structure and has fewer highly conserved nucleotide positions than the ykkC-yxkD leader. Despite this each of its two stem-loop structures directly bind free guanidine. The record is from RNAcentral. RNAcentral also lists the same sequence under 1 other name. Lineage: Bacteria; Pseudomonadati; Pseudomonadota; Gammaproteobacteria; Pseudomonadales; Pseudomonadaceae.
AACCACGGACGACCGUGGCUUCGAACGAAUAAAGCGGGACGGCCCGC